This 83-nucleotide transfer RNA is filed under the name Bifidobacterium pseudocatenulatum. RNAcentral describes it as "tRNA-Leu(caa)". It matches the Rfam family "tRNA". From Rfam's summary of the family: Transfer RNA (tRNA) molecules are approximately 80 nucleotides in length. Their secondary structure includes four short double-helical elements and three loops (D, anti-codon, and T loops). Further hydrogen bonds mediate the characteristic L-shaped molecular structure. tRNAs have two regions of fundamental functional importance: the anti-codon, which is responsible for specific mRNA codon recognition, and the 3' end, to which the tRNAs corresponding amino acid is attached (by aminoacyl-tRNA synthetases). tRNAs cope with the degeneracy of the genetic code in two manners: having more than one tRNA (with a specific anti-codon) for a particular amino acid; and 'wobble' base-pairing, i.e. permitting non-standard base-pairing at the 3rd anti-codon position. Lineage: Bacteria; Bacillati; Actinomycetota; Actinomycetes; Bifidobacteriales; Bifidobacteriaceae. The record is from RNAcentral.
GCUUUGGUGGCGGAAUUGGUAGACGCGGCGCACUCAAAAUGCGUUGUCCUGUGACAUGAGGGUUCGAUUCCCUCCUGAAGCAC